Molecule: ribosomal RNA, 449 nt
Filed under: uncultured bacterium
Lineage: Bacteria
Description: bacterial SSU rRNA
Rfam family: Bacterial small subunit ribosomal RNA
Source: RNAcentral
ACUCCUACGGGAGGCAGCAGUGGGGAAUAUUGCACAAUGGGCGCAAGCCUGAUGCAGCAACGCCGUGUGAGUGAAGAAGGUUUUCGGAUCGUAAAACUCUGUCCUAAGGGAAGAAACAAAUGACGGUACCUUAGGAGGAAGCCCCGGCUAACUACGUGCCAGCAGCCGCGGUAAUACGUAGGGGGCAAGCGUUAUCCGGAAUCACUGGGCGUAAAGGGUGCGUAGGCGGCUUAGCAAGCCAGGGGUGAAAGGCAUUGGCUCAACCAAUGUAAGCCUUUGGAACUGUUAAGCUUGAGUGCAGGAGAGGUAAGUGGAAUUCCUAGUGUAGAGGUGAAAUUCGUAGAUAUUAGGAGGAACACCAGUGGCGAAGGCGACUUACUGGACUGUAACUGACGCUGAUGCACGAAAGCUGGGUAGCGAACAGGAUUAGAUACCCUGGUAGCACAGAG